RNAcentral lists this ribosomal RNA (505 nucleotides) under uncultured bacterium. RNAcentral describes it as "bacterial SSU rRNA". It matches the Rfam family "Bacterial small subunit ribosomal RNA", at positions 20 to 518 of the family's 1533-position model. The record is from RNAcentral.
UGGCUCAGGAUGAACGCUAGCGACAGGCUAACACAUGCAAGGUCGAGGGGCAGCAUAGAAGUAGCAAUACUUGGUGGCGACCGGCGCACGGGUGAGUAACGCGUAUGCAACCUACCUAUCAGAGGGGAAUAACCGGCGAAAGUCGGACUAAUACCGCAUAAAACAGGGGCACCGCAUGGUGAUAUUUGUUAAAGAAAUUCGCUGAUAGAUGGGCAUGCGUUCCAUUAGGUAGUUGGUGAGGUAACGGCUCACCAAGCCGACGAUGGAUAGGGGAACUGAGAGGUUGGUCCCCCACACUGGUACUGAGACACGGACCAGACUCCUACGGGAGGCAGCAGUGAGGAAUAUUGGUCAAUGGGCGGGAGCCUGAACCAGCCAAGUCGCGGUGAAGGAAGAAGGAUCUAUGGUUCGUAAACUUCUUUUGCAGGGGAAUAAAGUGCAGGACGUGUCCUGUUUUGUAUGUACCCUGAGAAUAAGGAUCGGCUAACUCCGUGCCAGCCGCGGC